AAAUUGAAGAGUUUGAUCAUGGCUCAGAUUGAACGCUGGCGGCAGGCCUAACACAUGCAAGUCGAGCGGCAGCGGGAAAGUAGCUUGCUACUUUUGCCGGCGAGCGGCGGACGGGUGAGUAAUGCCUGGGGAUCUGCCCAGUCGAGGGGGAUAACUACUGGAAACGGUAGCUAAUACCGCAUACGCCCUACGGGGGAAAGCAGGGGACCUUCGGGCCUUGCGCGAUUGGAUGAACCCAGGUGGGAUUAGCUAGUUGGUGAGGUAAUGGCUCACCAAGGCGACGAUCCCUAGC
This 292-nucleotide ribosomal RNA is filed under the name Aeromonas veronii. Its description in RNAcentral is "partial 16S ribosomal RNA". It matches the Rfam family "Bacterial small subunit ribosomal RNA", at positions 1 to 287 of the family's 1533-position model. Lineage: Bacteria; Pseudomonadati; Pseudomonadota; Gammaproteobacteria; Aeromonadales; Aeromonadaceae. The record is from RNAcentral.